Molecule: long non-coding RNA, 1067 nt
Filed under: Elaeis guineensis (African oil palm)
Lineage: Eukaryota; Viridiplantae; Streptophyta; Magnoliopsida; Arecales; Arecaceae
Description: long non-coding RNA (EGUI_LNC077448)
Source: RNAcentral
CCUUUGUCACCGAGUCACGGGCAAAACCGUAUGCUAAGAAAAAGUAUGUGAUUCUUAGCUCAUGCUUCUAGAACCGGCAUCCUGCACUCGACCUUGAGCUAGAUCUCUCGUAGAAAGGGCCUGAUGGCUGUAGUCUGUGAUGUGUUGAGGUGUUUGAUAGAAUGCCGGAGCCGAAGGUGAAGGUUGAUUCGGCCGCAUUCCGUUCUUUCAUAUGUGGUUUGUAGCAGAGUGGCGAGUUUGGGAAAACACAGAAGCUCGUUGAUAAAUUAUUGGAAGAGGAUGGUGUUGAAGUUGCGAUGAAGCGGGAGCCUAAGCCGCGGAUGGUGAGUGCAGGCCACGAAAGCGGAGCAAGGCGAUGAAGCGGGAGGUGUCGAGUUGAUUGUUACGUCGAGAUGAGACCACGGCAUCGAUGGGGGCCGAGACGGUGAUCGAGGCUGCACUGCUGCAGCGUCAGGAGGCGAGGUUGGGGCGGCAGUCGAGGCUGCGAUCGUGCUGUGGCAUCGGUGCUGUUGUGGCAUGGAGGCAAGUCCGUGGUGUCGUUGGAGGCCGCGAUGGUGUUGCUGCUCGAUGAAUUGCUUGAGAGAGAAUAGGUUGCGUGGCGUGGAACGCUUCAUAACUGGGAAGAUGGCAAUGGUGCAGCGGGCGGCCCAGGUUCUGUCCUCCUCAAUUGUUUUCCCCUUUUUUUUUCUUGCUUUCUUUCGGCCGUGGCGUGUACUUCAUCUCAUUUAUCAAUAAAGUAUUAUGUGAUUUCUACCAUUUUGCUAAAAAAAUUAUAUGCACCCAGAGGACUGUCAAAGAUGAUAAAGGGUGCCAGCAGUCUGAAACCAGCUGCAGCGAAUCCUACCUGAAACCGUGCUGCCGACGCAAUGUGGGGUCGUGCUGCCGACGCAAUGUGGGGUUCUUCUUCACAUGUCAAAGUCAUGGGGCCGUCGGAUAUGAUCCAAGGGCCGAUCGCAUAGGUUGUUUUCUAUCAUAGUAGCGGUACUCUGUAUAAAACCCUCAAAGCUGGGUAUGAUGCAACCCACGGGAUGUUUUGUUGAAAAGAAUUGGAAUCUGAAAUAGAAAUA